UCAAGUGUUUUCUCCGAUUCGAGGCGAUGUCCGACUCUGAAUUCCCGCCGCCGUUGCCGGUUCAGUUCACAGUAUCUCGAUUCGUUUAGUUUUACAAUCUGGAGUCUAAGUUUGAGUUGAACCAUUCAUCAUAUAAGACUUCCCGCAGGUUUCUAUGGAUUUCGAAUUUCCUGGCAGAUUCUAAUAUUCGGCGAACUCAACUGGAGAUCAGGUACACGUUUUAAUAGCUAAUUUUGACUGGAUCAAGUUGAUCCAGGUUGGAGUUACGCUCGCUGAUUAGGAAGGUAAUCUUCCGGAUUUGGGCACGGACAUGUAGUUUAAUUUUAGGGAUUUACUAAAUUAUGUGAGGGUGUUCUUGGUGCCUAUGGUUUCUCGAUGAGAUUCUUCCCCGAUUAGCACGGCGGCGUUAACAGGGUUUGACUAAAUUCUUAAUGUGAAGCGUGAAAUCGGGAGGAGUUAUAUGGUCGUCUCAGAUAGCUUGGUGACCUUGAGUGCGAAGUUGAGGGAAGUGUACUUUAACAAUACUAAUCUUGAUAAGUAUGCUGGUAUUUUGUAUUGUUUAGAGCAUUUGUCUACAGCUAGAAAAUUUUCAUUUUAACAGUACAUAUCUUCCUGAGCGAUGACUUGUACGCAUCAUUCCUAUCAAUUCCAUUUUAGUUAUGAACUCACGACUGUCUUCCUGAGCGACAAUUUGCAUUCAGUUGGCUAAUAUUUAUGUUUUUCAACCACCCAGUUGCUCCUAAAUCUGUCGAAAUAUAAAUGUUUGAAGGGUAUUGAUCAUUGAUAGGGUAAUGGAGGUUGUGAGAUUAUAGGUAAUAUCGAGGCAUGGAUUUAAUGUGGCAUAGCUAGGGCAGUGGAGUUGUACCCUGGUUUUAACGGUUGCAAUUUUUUUUCUCUUUUGAGUUAGAAGAUGAUAUGUGGGGUGAUUAAGACGAGGAAAACAUUUGGGGCGUUGGAUUACAGCACCCUAAAUUCUGAAAACUGACCUAAUGCAUCACAAGGCUGGUGGCCAAGUAUAGUGAUAGGCGGAGAAUCACAAAAGUUUUCAAGUGUAGGCAUGUGAAGACGGGGGCGGGCGUGAAGGGUAGUUUGCUUUGUAGAGCAGGGCCUUUAAUUUUUUUUGGUAGUUAGAAUGAGGGUUACGUAAGGGAGGGCUGUUAUAGAGGGAGCGUUUGUGAGACGAGGGUAUCUUUUUUCUGCAUUUUUUGGCUUGGACAUUCUCUUUAGUGAAUCUGGGAGAGGUGGGAAACUCCCAAAUUUCUCCUUUGUUCCUUGUUGAUAAUUAAAUUGUUGGCUUAGGCCUAACAAUUAGGUCUAUGCAUUUGUCAACUUUCAUUCUUGAAGUAAACUCCUGAUUUUUUGCUUGAUAUUUUGGUUUGCUAUUAACUAUUAGCUCUUCUAGUCUCCUUAGUCAUUCGUUCCUUCAUUGUAUUAUUCAAGAUAACAAAUAUUGAAUGUGCACAAAUAUCUUUUAAGGUGGAAAUGUAAAGAAGGUUAAAUUACAAAUUUUGUCCCUAUUGGAGAAAGUUAGAAUUCAUCCAAAACCAUAGGGACCAAAUUUGUACUUUAACAUUUAAAGAAUUUGGUUUUAGAUGAAAUUUGUAGCUGUUGGGGUAUAAAAAUUGGAUCUGGUGCACUGCUAGUAGAAAAAAGGAGAAUAAAAGAGGGGAGUUUUGCAUAGUAUGUUUGUUACAAUCCCUUAACAUGUUCUUAAUGUUUCUAGCAUCUUUUACAUUGAAGAUUUAAAUUGUACCCGAUAGAGACUAAUGUAACCUUUGGCGUAAAGUAUCUGCAAUCAGACAUGGUGACAAUUCUUUUGGAUUAUUACUGCAACAACCUUCUCAGAACACUAGGACCUCCUGAUUUUGUAUCGCUAAAUCUAAUUGUUUGUUUUAUCCAUUCUAGUCUAUCCUCUGAAAUCUGGAAAUGAUACGAGGGUUAAACUUCAAGGUCCGUUGAUGAUGCUCCUUUGAAUUUCAAUUUUGCAUAUCCUUGCCAUCAAAUCUUUUUUUUUUCCUUGAGUCGAACAAAUGAAGGGGUUUGAGCCUUCAACUCCAAGAGAAGAAGUAAAUUCCUUUUAACAUUUUCAUCAGCAAUAUUUUAAAAAUCAAGGGGCUGAUUUUUUACUCAAGUAAAAAGUUAAAAGAGCCAAUGGAUUCUAUCAUUGAUGAUAAUUGUGAUGUUGAGAUUUGAGAACGACCAGGAAUCUCUAUUCUAGAAGUGACAAUAGAUGGAGGUUGAGGCUUAUGGCUUGUAUGCCUAACCCCUUUGGAAGGAGAUCUUGAUGCGAACUUUAGUUUGAAAAUGUUGGUCAUGGAUGGCAUCCAAUGCUUAGAAGAAACCUCAAUGACAGGAAACUUUGGGAUCAGCUUCUUGCAGACUUGUGAUAGAACCCAAAUGUAUUGAUAGGAUUGCUGUUAGGGUAGAAUUACAAACAUGGCUAGGGAAUUGAAGGUAUAUUAGUAAUUAGCUAAGGAAGUUGUCAGGGUGGUUUGUUAUAAAUAGGGUGCGGGGAAAGGGUAGACAAUUGUUUAGUUGGUCGAGGACUUGAGUGAUCUCAAGAACGAGAGGGUCCAAGUACCUCGAAUGCUUGGAGGGUUAUAUUGUAUUUCCAUUAUAUAUAUAUUUCAAAACAUUUAGGUUCUAUCAACUUUCUAGAAUUCUUGUUACCAAAAUAAAUGAUUGGAGAAUAUCAUUAGUGAAGUAA
This is a non-coding RNA of Cucurbita pepo subsp. pepo (vegetable marrow), 2707 nucleotides long. Lineage: Eukaryota; Viridiplantae; Streptophyta; Magnoliopsida; Cucurbitales; Cucurbitaceae. The record is from RefSeq and is a predicted model, not a curated record.